RNAcentral lists this ribosomal RNA (61 nucleotides) under Penicillium oxalicum. RNAcentral's name for it is "partial 28S ribosomal RNA". Lineage: Eukaryota; Fungi; Ascomycota; Eurotiomycetes; Eurotiales; Aspergillaceae. The record is from RNAcentral.
GGUUGACCUCGGAUCAGGUAGGGAUACCCGCUGAACUUAAGCAUAUCAGUAAACGGAGGAA